Molecule: ribosomal RNA, 339 nt
Filed under: Arthrobacter agilis
Lineage: Bacteria; Bacillati; Actinomycetota; Actinomycetes; Micrococcales; Micrococcaceae
Description: bacterial SSU rRNA
Rfam family: Bacterial small subunit ribosomal RNA
Source: RNAcentral
CCCGGCUAUCAUUCCAGGCGAACGAUGAACCCUCACUUGUGGGGGGAUUAGUGGCGAACGGGUGAGUAACACGUGAGUAACCUGCCCUUGACUCUGGGAUAAGCCUGGGAAACCGGGUCUAAUACUGGAUACGACCUUCUGGCGCAUGCCAUGUUGGUGGAAAGCUUUUGUGGUUUUGGAUGGACUCGCGGCCUAUCAGCUUGUUGGUGGGGUAAUGGCCUACCAAGGCGACGACGGGUAGCCGGCCUGAGAGGGUGACCGGCCACACUGGGACUGAGACACGGCCCAACUCCUACGGGAGGCACAUGGGGAAUAUUGCACAAUGGGCCAACCUGAUGC